RNAcentral lists this ribosomal RNA (493 nucleotides) under uncultured bacterium. RNAcentral's name for it is "partial 16S ribosomal RNA". It matches the Rfam family "Bacterial small subunit ribosomal RNA", at positions 29 to 507 of the family's 1533-position model. The record is from RNAcentral.
ACGAACGCUGGCGGCGUGCUUAACACAUGCAAGUCGAACGGUGAAGCGCCUUCCUUUUUGGUGGGUGUGGAUGAGUGGCGAACGGGUGAGUAACACGUGAGUAACCUGCCCCCUUCUUCUGGAUAACCGCAUGAAAGUGUGGCUAAUACGGGAUAUUCUGGGUCUGUCGCAUGAUGGGUCUGGGAAAGAUAUUGUUUCGGUGGGGGAUGGGCUCGCGGCCUAUCAGCUUGUUGGUGGGGUGAUGGCCUACCAAGGCGGUGACGGGUAGCCGGCCUGAGAGGGUGGACGGUCACACUGGGACUGAGACACGGGCCAGACUCCUACGGGAGGCAGCAGUGGGGAAUAUUGCACAAUGGGCGCAAGCCUGAUGCGGCGACGCCGCGUGAGGGAUGGAGGCCUUCGGGUUGUGAACCUCUUUCGCCAGUGAAGCAGGCCUGCCUCGUUUGUGGGUGGGUUGACGGUAGCUGGAUAAGAAGCGCCGGCUAACUACGUA